AGCAGUAUGGUGUAACGAUGCACACGGGAUUUUCAUGGGGGUUUGCGCACAUUUAAUCUCGAGGUCCUUGUUCGAACCAAGGUACUGCUC
Mycena leptocephala is the source of this 90-nucleotide non-coding RNA. The record is from the annotation of a GenBank genome assembly. Lineage: Eukaryota; Fungi; Basidiomycota; Agaricomycetes; Agaricales; Mycenaceae.